This 1412-nucleotide ribosomal RNA is filed under the name Lactiplantibacillus plantarum. RNAcentral describes it as "bacterial SSU rRNA". It matches the Rfam family "Bacterial small subunit ribosomal RNA". The record is from RNAcentral. Lineage: Bacteria; Bacillati; Bacillota; Bacilli; Lactobacillales; Lactobacillaceae.
GCAGUCGAACGAACUCUGGUAUUGAUUGGUGCUUGCAUCAUGAUUUACAUUUGAGUGAGUGGCGAACUGGUGAGUAACACGUGGGAAACCUGCCCAGAAGCGGGGGAUAACACCUGGAAACAGAUGCUAAUACCGCAUAACAACUUGGACCGCAUGGUCCGAGUUUGAAAGAUGGCUUCGGCUAUCACUUUUGGAUGGUCCCGCGGCGUAUUAGCUAGAUGGUGGGGUAACGGCUCACCAUGGCAAUGAUACGUAGCCGACCUGAGAGGGUAAUCGGCCACAUUGGGACUGAGACACGGCCCAAACUCCUACGGGAGGCAGCAGUAGGGAAUCUUCCACAAUGGACGAAAGUCUGAUGGAGCAACGCCGCGUGAGUGAAGAAGGGUUUCGGCUCGUAAAACUCUGUUGUUAAAGAAGAACAUAUCUGAGAGUAACUGUUCAGGUAUUGACGGUAUUUAACCAGAAAGCCACGGCUAACUACGUGCCAGCAGCCGCGGUAAUACGUAGGUGGCAAGCGUUGUCCGGAUUUAUUGGGCGUAAAGCGAGCGCAGGCGGUUUUUUAAGUCUGAUGUGAAAGCCUUCGGCUCAACCGAAGAAGUGCAUCGGAAACUGGGAAACUUGAGUGCAGAAGAGGACAGUGGAACUCCAUGUGUAGCGGUGAAAUGCGUAGAUAUAUGGAAGAACACCAGUGGCGAAGGCGGCUGUCUGGUCUGUAACUGACGCUGAGGCUCGAAAGUAUGGGUAGCAAACAGGAUUAGAUACCCUGGUAGUCCAUACCGUAAACGAUGAAUGCUAAGUGUUGGAGGGUUUCCGCCCUUCAGUGCUGCAGCUAACGCAUUAAGCAUUCCGCCUGGGGAGUACGGCCGCAAGGCUGAAACUCAAAGGAAUUGACGGGGGCCCGCACAAGCGGUGGAGCAUGUGGUUUAAUUCGAAGCUACGCGAAGAACCUUACCAGGUCUUGACAUACUAUGCAAAUCUAAGAGAUUAGACGUUCCCUUCGGGGACAUGGAUACAGGUGGUGCAUGGUUGUCGUCAGCUCGUGUCGUGAGAUGUUGGGUUAAGUCCCGCAACGAGCGCAACCCUUAUUAUCAGUUGCCAGCAUUAAGUUGGGCACUCUGGUGAGACUGCCGGUGACAAACCGGAGGAAGGUGGGGAUGACGUCAAAUCAUCAUGCCCCUUAUGACCUGGGCUACACACGUGCUACAAUGGAUGGUACAACGAGUUGCGAACUCGCGAGAGUAAGCUAAUCUCUUAAAGCCAUUCUCAGUUCGGAUUGUAGGCUGCAACUCGCCUACAUGAAGUCGGAAUCGCUAGUAAUCGCGGAUCAGCAUGCCGCGGUGAAUACGUUCCCGGGCCUUGUACACACCGCCCGUCACACCAUGAGAGUUUGUAACACCCAAAGUCGGUGGGGU